This 431-nucleotide ribosomal RNA is filed under the name uncultured bacterium. RNAcentral describes it as "bacterial SSU rRNA". It matches the Rfam family "Bacterial small subunit ribosomal RNA", at positions 355 to 796 of the family's 1533-position model. The record is from RNAcentral.
UCGAGGAUCUUCGGCAAUGGGCGCAAGCCUGACCGAGCGACGCCGCGUGUGCGAUGAAGGCCUUCGGGUUGUAAAGCACUGUCGAGGGGGAGGAAGGCGCAAGCUUGACCUAUCCCUGGAGGAAGCACGGGCUAAGUUCGUGCCAGCAGCCGCGGUAAGACGAACCGUGCGAACGUUGUUCGGAAUCACUGGGCUUAAAGGGCGCGUAGGCGGGCAGCCAAGUUCGGGGUGAAAUCCUUCGGCUUAACCGGAGAACGGCCUCGGAUACUGGUUGCCUUGAGGGAGGUAGGGGCAUGUGGAACUUCCGGUGGAGCGGUGAAAUGCGUUGAUAUCGGAAGGAACGCCGGUGGCGAAAGCGACAUGCUGGCCCUCUUCUGACGCUGAGGCGCGAAAGCCAGGGGAGCGAACGGGAUUAGAUACCCCUGUAGUCC